RNAcentral lists this ribosomal RNA (214 nucleotides) under uncultured bacterium. RNAcentral's name for it is "partial 16S ribosomal RNA". It matches the Rfam family "Bacterial small subunit ribosomal RNA", at positions 335 to 546 of the family's 1533-position model. The record is from RNAcentral.
ACUCCUACGGAGGCAGCAGUAGGAAUUUCCGCAAUGGACGAAGUCUGACGGAGCAAUGCCGCGUGAGUGAUGAAGGUUUCGAAUCGUAAAGCUCUGUUGUAAGGGAAGAAUAGCAAGAAUAGGAAAUGAUUCUUGNCUGACGGUACCUUACCAGAAAGCCACGGCUAACUACGUGCCAGCAGCCGCGGUAAUACGUAGGUGGCAAGCGUUAUCC